GGCCUGGUGGUCUAGUAGUAUGAUUCCUUCUUAGGGCGCUCCUGUGUCUGGUUCAACACGGGUUUACGCAAUAUGGAGGAGGUCCCGGGUUCAAUUCCCGGCCAGGCCC
Polyporus arcularius HHB13444 is the source of this 109-nucleotide non-coding RNA. NCBI's taxonomy places the organism in Eukaryota, Fungi, Basidiomycota, Agaricomycetes, Polyporales, Polyporaceae. The record is from the annotation of a GenBank genome assembly.